RNAcentral lists this ribosomal RNA (253 nucleotides) under uncultured bacterium. RNAcentral describes it as "partial 16S ribosomal RNA". It matches the Rfam family "Bacterial small subunit ribosomal RNA", at positions 524 to 776 of the family's 1533-position model. The record is from RNAcentral.
UACGUAGGGGGCAAGCGUUGUCCGGAAUUAUUGGGCGUAAAGAGCGCGUAGGCGGUCCGGUAAGUCGGUUGUGAAAGUCGGGGGCUCAACCCUCGAAUGCCGGUGGAUACUGUCGGGCUAGAGUGCGGAAGAGGCGAGUGGAAUUCCUGGUGUAGCGGUGAAAUGCGCAGAUAUCAGGAGGAACACCUAUUGCGAAGGCAGCUCGCUGGGACGUAACUGACGCUGAGACGCGAAAGCGUGGGGAGCAAACAGG